This 233-nucleotide unclassified non-coding RNA is filed under the name Melitaea cinxia (Glanville fritillary). RNAcentral describes it as "misc RNA ENSMCXG00005018036.1". Lineage: Eukaryota; Metazoa; Arthropoda; Insecta; Lepidoptera; Nymphalidae. The record is from RNAcentral.
GGACAGAGGCAGUAUUUCGCGAUAUCCCUUGGGCAGAGGCAGUAUUACGCGAUACCCACUAUGUGAUCCAGGGACAGAGGCAGUAUUACGCGAUAUCCCUUGGGCAGAGGCAGUAUUACGCAAUACCCAUCACAGAAAGCAGACAGAGGCAGUAUUACGCUUGUCUCAAAUAACAAAACGGUCAUUUUGUUACGUCGUGCCAGCAACGUGCAGGUGCCAUCGCACGUGUACAG